This 499-nucleotide ribosomal RNA is filed under the name uncultured bacterium. RNAcentral describes it as "partial 16S ribosomal RNA". It matches the Rfam family "Bacterial small subunit ribosomal RNA", at positions 30 to 523 of the family's 1533-position model. The record is from RNAcentral.
AUUGAACGCUGGCGGCAGGCUUAACACAUGCAAGUCGAGCGGAGAUGAGGUGCUUGCACCUUAUCUUAGCGGCGGACGGGUGAGUAAUGCUUAGGAAUCUGCCUAUUAGUGGGGGACAACAUUCCGAAAGGACUGCUAAUACCGCAUACGUCCUACGGGAGAAAGCAGGGGAUCUUCGGACCUUGCGCUAAUAGAUGAGCCUAAGUCGGAUUAGCUAGGUGGUGGGGUAAAGGCCUACCAAGGCGACGAUCUGUAGCGGGUCUGAGAGGAUGAUCCGCCACACUGGGACUGAGACACGGCCCAGACUCCUACGGGAGGCAGCAGUGGGGAAUAUUGGACAAUGGGGGGAACCCUGAUCCAGCCAUGCCGCGUGUGAAGAAGGCCUUAUGGUUGUAAAGCACUCUAAGCGAGGAGGAGGCUACUGAGACUAAUACUCUUGGAUAGUGGACGUUACUCGCAGAAUAAGCACCGGCUAACUCUGUGCCAGCCGCCGCCGUAA